GCAAAUGAGCACAAGAGAAAUUUCUGGAGUGAUGAAGACAUCCUAAAACUGGAUUUCAGUGACAGCUCCACAACUUUAUAAAUUGGCUAAAAAAAAAAAAAUCAUUGAAUUGUACACUUGUACAGACAGUCCUUGACUUACAAUGGUUCACUUUAUGAUUUUUUGACUUCAUAGCCCCAUUAUAAAUUGAGGAUCAUCCGUAAUGAGUGGAUUUUUAUGGUGAGUUAUUCUUCAAUAAAGCUGUUUUUUAAAAACAGGGAAAAUGAAUGAUGAGGAAAAACUUAUGAGCCAUGAGUGCUGACUAAUGAGUCAGCUCCUGUGAACAGCGUACUGUGAAGCAUUAAGCUAGGUAUGAAUCACAGCAGUGACGAUGAGGAUGCAGGGCGUGGUGUUUACAGAGUGCCUAUUCUGGAAAAGGGAAAGCUAUGAAGACAGAAAAAAGAUCAGUGGUUGCCAGGAUCAAGGGGAGGGCGGGAUGAACAGGCAGAUCACCAAGUAUUUGUGUGGCAGUGAGACUACUCUGCAAGAUGCUACACAUCAUACGUGUGUCCAACUUACCGAUGUCUAACAAGAGUGAACCCCAACAUAAACUCUGAACUCUGGGUGUGAACAGUGUUUCAAUGUAGGGUCACCCGAUUGUAACAGAUGUACCGCUGUCCUGGGGGAUGUCCAGGGACUGUGAGGUCCUCCCCAUGCCGGUGUUCUGGGAUGAUGGCAGGCACUCAGGGGCAGGUGAAUGACACGUCUGAGGAGGCCAGGCCUUGAGCACUGUCUCUCAGCCCCUGGAGAGGUGACCAUGCUUUGGCAGCAAUAGAAUUCAUGUCCACUGAGAGUAGGACCUCAAGUGGUGACCAGAAUGGCCUCCCGGGUGCUUUGGGACUCAGAUCCAGUCCCCUUUGCCAAAUACUUGGCAUACCAAUUAGGACGGUUAUUAUCCAAACAACUUAAAAGCGGUGAAAAUGGUAAACUUAAUUUUAUAGAUACUUUACCACAAUGUAAGAAAUAAAAAAUAUAAAAAUGAAAACACAUUGCUCACAGCCCCAAGAAUGACUGAGAUGGAUUUUCCACCAGCUCAGCAGGGGAGAUUCGGGUCCCCGCCCACAUCUCCUAUCAAAUUGUAAUCCUCGGUGUACCUGAGGUCAGGAGUUCAAGACCAGCCUGGCCAACAUAGUGACACCCCGUCUCUACUAAAAUUACAAAAAUUAGCCAGGCGUGUUGGCACGCACCUGUAAUCCCAGCUACUCAGGAGGCUGAGGCACGAGAAUCCCUUGAAUCCAGAAGGCGGAGGUUGCAGUGAACCGAGAUCUCACCACUGUCCUCCAGCCUGGGCGACAGCCAGACUCUGUCUUGGGGGAAGAAAAAAAGCGUGUGGCACGUCCCCCUUCACUCUCUUCCUACUGCCCCAGCCUUGUGGGACGUGCUGGCUCCCCGUUCACCUUCCGCCACAAUUGGAAGUUUCCCGAGCCCUCCCCAGCCAUGCUUGCUGUACGGCCUACAGAACCAUGAGCCAAUUAAACCUCUUUCUUUAUAAAUUACCCAGUCUUGCGUAGU
Molecule: long non-coding RNA, 1551 nt
Filed under: Homo sapiens (human)
Lineage: Eukaryota; Metazoa; Chordata; Mammalia; Primates; Hominidae
Description: non-protein coding lnc-FOXF2-7:1
Source: RNAcentral